RNAcentral lists this long non-coding RNA (673 nucleotides) under Malus domestica (apple). Its description in RNAcentral is "long non-coding RNA (MDOM_LNC016454)". Lineage: Eukaryota; Viridiplantae; Streptophyta; Magnoliopsida; Rosales; Rosaceae. The record is from RNAcentral.
ACAAGUUAGAAACAUGGAAGGAUGAGAAAAGUAUUUUCCAAUCAAAAUUCGAUUGGAUUUAUAAACUUCAUAAUCGUACUUAUUCAUGGAAGUAAUCAUGGUGUGCUUUAGGCAAUGUUUUCAUAAUUAGACGAUCCAUAUGAGCGAACCAAAAAGCUAAGGAAUCCUUAUUGGGGAGGUACUUUUCGUGAGUAAUGCUUUAGGCAUAAGUAUUCGAAUGAAGAUCAUGGCGGAGGCUUAUUCAGCUCUUCCUUGCCAUUGUUGGCUUCAAUGGUUUUUCAGCUACUUGGUAGUCAAGUGGAGAUUCAUGUCUCGUACCCUGCAUGAAGUGGUUUUUAUUAGAAACAUUCAAAUCAAGAAACAUCAAACUUGUGACGGCUCGACAAUCCACUGAAUUGGAGGGAACAAGAUUGUUAUUGGUGCUAUGGGAUUGAAUCAUCCAUAAGCAUCAAAGUUAGAACAUUCGAGUUCUAAGACAUGGUUUUCAUGAAAAACGUUAGGUUUUCAUAGGUGUAUUGUUUUAUAAAAACUCUGGGUUUCAAAGGCACUAAAUUUGAAACUACAAGUUCAAUUUAGUUUAUGAACGUUUAGUUCAUAAAAGAGAGGUUCUUGGAAGAACACAGAAUGCAAUAUGUUGAUUUAAGUGUAGUGGAUUUGAGUUGCUUCGGGAACU